AGUGAACGCUGGCGGUAGGCCUAACACAUGCAAGUCGAACGGCAGCACAGUAAGAGCUUGCUCUUACGGGUGGCGAGUGGCGGACGGGUGAGGAAUACAUCGGAAUCUACUUUUUCGUGGGGGAUAACGUAGGGAAACUUACGCUAAUACCGCAUACGACCUACGGGUGAAAGCAGGGGAUCUUCGGACCUUGCGCGAUUGAAUGAGCCGAUGUCGGAUUAGCUAGUUGGCGGGGUAAAGGCCCACCAAGGUGACGAUCCGUAGCUGGUCUGAGAGGAUGAUCAGCCACACUGGAACUGAGACACGGUCCAGACUCCUACGGGAGGCAGCAGUGGGGAAUAUUGGACAAUGGGCGCAAGCCUGAUCCAGCCAUACCGUGUGGGUGAAGAAGGCCUUCGGGUUGUAAAGCCCUUUUGUUGGGAAAGAAAAGCAGCGGGUUAAUACCCCGCUGUUCUGACGGUACCCAAAGAAUAAGCACCGGCUAACUUCGUG
RNAcentral lists this ribosomal RNA (492 nucleotides) under uncultured bacterium. RNAcentral's name for it is "partial 16S ribosomal RNA". It matches the Rfam family "Bacterial small subunit ribosomal RNA", at positions 29 to 507 of the family's 1533-position model. The record is from RNAcentral.